UCCUCCUUAUGCGCAAUCGGAAGGAUAAGAUCGAUCACGAUGGAUGAUGCAGAUCAAUGCGGGAUGUUUAUAAAUACUUCGCAUCACACGGAAACCUAAAUCCUAAUCGCUAGUCCCCGUUAGAGAAGAAGAACAAGACGCUGGAGAAGGAGGCCAACCCCCAACCGUCGCCGUGCCGUAGCCACUGCCAACUGCCAAAAGAGGUAAAAAUUCUCUCUAUCUGCUCGAAAUUCAAUAUCGAGUACCCCUGUUGCCAAAUCAGAGCAAGAAGAAAGAUGAGUGAGUUAAAAACUGCGGGUAAAGGCCGGCGGGAGCCGACGCGACUAAAACCACAAAACCCUUCCGACGAGACCUUUCCGAUUUUUGUUUCAUGUAACUUUUCGAUCAUUGUAUUUUUCGUCCUUUUCUGUGCAGAGUAGUCGAAGAAAGAACCUCAG
This 437-nucleotide long non-coding RNA is filed under the name Carica papaya (papaya). RNAcentral's name for it is "long non-coding RNA (CPAP_LNC014210)". Lineage: Eukaryota; Viridiplantae; Streptophyta; Magnoliopsida; Brassicales; Caricaceae. The record is from RNAcentral.